RNAcentral lists this transfer RNA (66 nucleotides) under Girella leonina. RNAcentral's name for it is "tRNA-Cys". Lineage: Eukaryota; Metazoa; Chordata; Actinopteri; Centrarchiformes; Girellidae. The record is from RNAcentral.
AGCUUCGAGGUGUUGUACAUAUCAAAUUGCAAAUUUGAAGUAGCAGAUUAGACUCUGCCGGGGCUU